AAUUCGCCCUUAGAGUUUGAUCAUGGCUCAGAUUGAACGCUGGCGGCAGGCCUAACACAUGCAAGUCGAGCGGCAGCACAAGGGAGUUUACUCCUGAGGUGGCGAGCGGCGGACGGGUGAGUAAUGCCUAGGGAUCUGCCCAGUCGAGGGGGAUAACAGUUGGAAACGACUGCUAAUACCGCAUACGCCCUACGGGGGAAAGAGGGGGACUUUCGGGCCUCUCGCGAUUGGAUGAACCUAGGUGGGAUUAGCUAGUUGGUGAGGUAAUGGCUCACCAAGGCGACGAUCCCUAGCUGUUCUGAGAGGAUGAUCAGCCACACUGGGACUGAGACACGGCCCAGACUCCUACGGGAGGCAGCAGUGGGGAAUAUUGCACAAUGGGGGAAACCCUGAUGCAGCCAUGCCGCGUGUGUGAAGAAGGCCUUCGGGUUGUAAAGCACUUUCAGUAGGGAGGAAAGGUUGUAAGUUAAUACCUUGCAGCUGUGACGUUACCUACAGAAGAAGGACCGGCUAACUCCGUGCCAGCAGCCGCGGUAAUACGGAGGGUCCAAGCGUUAAUCGGAAUUACUGGGCGUAAAGCGUGCGCAGGCGGUUUGUUAAGCGAGAUGUG
RNAcentral lists this ribosomal RNA (610 nucleotides) under uncultured Gammaproteobacteria bacterium. RNAcentral describes it as "bacterial SSU rRNA". It matches the Rfam family "Bacterial small subunit ribosomal RNA", at positions 1 to 596 of the family's 1533-position model. Lineage: Bacteria; Pseudomonadati; Pseudomonadota; Gammaproteobacteria. The record is from RNAcentral.